CAAAUCUUCUCAAGGGAUCUCAGAUACCUUGGCCUGUUUCUUUGCCUCAUCUACAGCCACAGGAUAGGAAUGCAGAAGUUCUUUGGACUCCUAGCUGUUCUCCUGCAACCAGCAUUUCUACCAAGCUGUUUCGUUUGUGCACCAGGCAACAGGAUUACUAACCUUUGAGUGAGAGAAACUUCUGCUGAUGUCAAAUGACCAGGAGGACAUUAACAACUGAUUUUGGUGCCUGUCGGGUGCCGUUGGCCCUACUAAUGACCUAUGCUAAAUUUGAACUGCAAACCCCAGAGACAUCUAGCAUGGU
Molecule: long non-coding RNA, 304 nt
Organism: Dermochelys coriacea (leatherback sea turtle)
Lineage: Eukaryota; Metazoa; Chordata; Testudines; Dermochelyidae
Exons: 3
Source: RefSeq, a predicted model, not a curated record